This 253-nucleotide ribosomal RNA is filed under the name uncultured bacterium. Its description in RNAcentral is "partial 16S ribosomal RNA". It matches the Rfam family "Bacterial small subunit ribosomal RNA", at positions 524 to 776 of the family's 1533-position model. The record is from RNAcentral.
UACGAAGGGGGCUAGCGUUGCUCGGAAUUACUGGGCGUAAAGCGCACGUAGGCGGCUCUUUAAGUCGGAGGUGAAAUCCUGGAGCUCAACUCCAGAACUGCCUUCGAUACUGUAGAGCUUGAGUUCGGGAGAGGUGAGUGGAACUGCGAGUGUAGAGGUGAAAUUCGUAGAUAUUCGCAAGAACACCAGUGGCGAAGGCGGCUCACUGGCCCGAUACUGACGCUGAGGUGCGAAAGCUAGGGGAGCAAACGGG